This 213-nucleotide ribosomal RNA is filed under the name uncultured bacterium. Its description in RNAcentral is "partial 16S ribosomal RNA". It matches the Rfam family "Bacterial small subunit ribosomal RNA", at positions 524 to 737 of the family's 1533-position model. The record is from RNAcentral.
UACGUAGGGGGCAAGCGUUGUCCGGAAUACUGGCGUAAAGCGCGUGUAGGCGGGACGACAAGUCCGGCGUGAAAGGCUCGGGCUCAACCCGAGACGGCCGUUGGAAACUGUCGUUCUUGAGGGUCGAAGAGGAGAGUGGAAUUCCUGGUGUAGCGGCGAAAUGCGUAGAGAUCAGGAGGAACACCCAAUGGCGAAGGCAGCCGCUCGUACGGU